RNAcentral lists this ribosomal RNA (255 nucleotides) under uncultured bacterium. RNAcentral describes it as "partial 16S ribosomal RNA". It matches the Rfam family "Bacterial small subunit ribosomal RNA", at positions 524 to 776 of the family's 1533-position model. The record is from RNAcentral.
UACGGGGGGAGCAAGCGUUGUUCGGAUUUACUGGGCGUAAAGGGCGCGUAGGCGGCCAGCACAAGUCGGUUGUGAAAUCUCCGGGCUUAACUCGGAAAGGUCAACCGAUACUGUGCGGCUAGAGUGCGGAAGGGGCAACUGGAAUUCUCGGUGUAGCGGUGAAAUGCGUAGAUAUCAAGAGGAACACCUGAGGUGAAGACGGGUUGCUGGGCUGACACUGACGCUGACAGCGCGAAAGCUAGGGGAGCAAACGGG